CAGCGCCGCGGUAAUACGUAGGGUGCGAGCGUUAAUCGGAAUUACUGGGCGUAAAGCGUGCGCAGGCGGCUUUGCAAGCCAGAUGUGAAAUCCCCGGGCUCAACCUGGGAACUGCAUUUGUGACUGCAAGGCUAGAGUACGGUAGAGGGGGAUGGAAUUCCGCGUGUAGCAGUGAAAUGCGUAGAUAUGCGGAGGAACACCAAUGGCGAAGGCAAUCCCCUGGACCUGUACUGACGCUCAUGCACGAAAGCGUGGGGAGCAAACAGGAUUAGAUACCCUGGUAGUCCACGCCCUAAACGAUGUCAACUGGUUGUUGGACGGCUUGCUGUUCAGUAACGAAGCUAACGCGUGAAGUUGACCGCCUGGGGAGUACGGCCGCAAGGUUGAAACUUAAAGGAAUUGGCGGG
This 407-nucleotide ribosomal RNA is filed under the name uncultured microorganism. RNAcentral describes it as "bacterial SSU rRNA". It matches the Rfam family "Bacterial small subunit ribosomal RNA", at positions 509 to 917 of the family's 1533-position model. The record is from RNAcentral.